RNAcentral lists this ribosomal RNA (225 nucleotides) under uncultured Methylophilus sp. RNAcentral describes it as "partial 16S ribosomal RNA". It matches the Rfam family "Bacterial small subunit ribosomal RNA", at positions 568 to 792 of the family's 1533-position model. Lineage: Bacteria; Pseudomonadati; Pseudomonadota; Betaproteobacteria; Nitrosomonadales; Methylophilaceae. The record is from RNAcentral.
UGCGCAGGCGGUUUUGUAAGUCAGAUGUGAAAUCCCCGAGCUCAACUUGGGAACUGCGUUUGAAACUGCAAGACUAGAAUAUGUCAGAGGGGGGUAGAAUUCCACGUGUAGCAGUGAAAUGCGUAGAGAUGUGGAGGAAUACCAAUGGCGAAGGCAGCCCCCUGGACAAAGACUGACGCUCAGGUGCGAAAGCGUGGGGAGCAAACAGGAUUAGAUACCCUCGUA